This 235-nucleotide ribosomal RNA is filed under the name uncultured bacterium. Its description in RNAcentral is "partial 16S ribosomal RNA". It matches the Rfam family "Bacterial small subunit ribosomal RNA", at positions 1268 to 1500 of the family's 1533-position model. The record is from RNAcentral.
AAAUACUCCAAAAAACGUACUCAGUUCGGAUUGUAGGCUGCAACCCGCCUACAUGAAGUCGGAAUUGCUAGUAAUCGCGAAUCAGCAUGUCGCGGUGAAUACGUUCCCGGGCCUUGUACACACCGCCCGUCACACCAUGAGAGUUGGCAAUACCCAACGUACGUGAUCUAACCCGCAAGGGAGGAAGCGUCCUAAGGUAGGGUCAGCGAUUGGGGUGAAGUCGUAACAAGGUAGC